AGACAUGUUGCUUUUUCUUAUUUUACCUUUUAUACCAACAGUUAUACCAGCUCGUCCUGGGUUUAUUGAUACUGGCAAUGUAGAAUGGAGAGAUUGUGGUAACCCAGCAGACACUUGGGUGUCCAUUAGUGAUUUUGAUGUCACCCCUAAACCAGUUCCUAUGUCCGGUGAUAUGUAUGUUCUAUUGACGACCGAACUAAAGCAUCAGUUGAACUCAGCCGUCAGCAUAGAUGCUCUUUGGGAGAUGGACAUACAGGGAAACUACACUGCAAUUUUUUGCAAACAGAACUCUGGAACAUGUCAGUUUGGUGAUAUAUGUAAUUUUUUGACCAGCUUGAGCUCCCUUGUGUGGCCAUCAGGGUGCCCAAAGCAGUUAGCUGAUAAUGGUCUA
Molecule: long non-coding RNA, 391 nt
Organism: Patella vulgata (common limpet)
Lineage: Eukaryota; Metazoa; Mollusca; Gastropoda; Patellidae
Exons: 3
Source: RefSeq, a predicted model, not a curated record